This is a small nucleolar RNA of Epinephelus moara (kelp grouper), 335 nucleotides long. NCBI's taxonomy places the organism in Eukaryota, Metazoa, Chordata, Actinopteri, Perciformes, Serranidae. The record is from RefSeq and is a predicted model, not a curated record.
CCCGCAUGAUGAUAUCAUGGCAAGUUUUAUGAUCCAGUCAGACCAAGAGAUUAUGGUCUCUAGCCUGCUGUUAGAUGGGUAGUCUUGGUAGUGUGGUGGAGUUUUACUACACUGCUGUAAGGGCCCAACAACAGUCAACUUGUCACCUUCUUCAACCUCUGCCCCCCAAAGAGCAAUGGGACAGGGCAGGAAGGAGAUGUCAGAUAAUGUGUGGAUGUUUGUUUGUCCUUGUGUGUGUUCUUGUAUGAAUGUUUAUGUAUCAGCUGGCAAGAGGCUAUAGUCUCAAUAAAGUUGGUUUGGCACAUAUGAACUACAGUCUUUGGUAACCUGAGGGC